AUACGGAGGGUGCAAGCGUUGUUCGGAAUUACUGGGCGUAAAGCGCGCGUAGGCGGUCUGUUAUGUCAGAUGUGAAAGUCCUCGGCUCAACCGGGGAAGUGCAUUUGAAACUGGCAGACUUGAGUACUGGAGGGGGUGGUGGAAUUCCCGGUGUAGAGGUGAAAUUCGUAGAUAUCGGGAGGGAUACCGGUGGCGAAGGCGACCACCUGGCCAGAUACUGACGCUGAGGUGCGAAAGCGUGGGGAGCAAACAGGAUUAGAAACCCCGGUAGUCC
This 274-nucleotide ribosomal RNA is filed under the name uncultured bacterium. RNAcentral's name for it is "partial 16S ribosomal RNA". It matches the Rfam family "Bacterial small subunit ribosomal RNA", at positions 523 to 796 of the family's 1533-position model. The record is from RNAcentral.